This 469-nucleotide ribosomal RNA is filed under the name uncultured bacterium. RNAcentral describes it as "partial 16S ribosomal RNA". It matches the Rfam family "Bacterial small subunit ribosomal RNA", at positions 28 to 508 of the family's 1533-position model. The record is from RNAcentral.
GACGAACGCUGGCGGCGUGCUUAACACAUGCAAGUCGAACGGAAAGGCCCUGCUUUUGUGGGGUGCUCGAGUGGCGAACGGGUGAGUAACACGUGAGUAACCUGCCCUUGACUUUGGGAUAACUUCAGGAAACUGGGGCUAAUACCGGAUAGGAGCUCCUGCUGCAUGGUGGGGGUUGGAAAGUUUCGGCGGUUGGGGAUGGACUCGCGGCUUAUCAGCUUGUUGGUGGGGUAGUGGCUUACCAAGGCUUUGACGGGUAGCCGGCCUGAGAGGGUGACCGGGCAUAGUGGGGAUGGGGAGACGCCCAGGCCCCCACGGGGGGGAGCAGGGGGGAAAUUGGGAAAAAGGGGGGGAGGCGGAAGCCAGCAACCCCGGGGGGGGAAGGGGGCCUUGGGGUUGGAAACCCGUUUCCGCUGGUGAGAAAGGGUGAGGGAGGUAAUGGGAAAAAGAACCCCGGCCAAACACCGGC